This 254-nucleotide ribosomal RNA is filed under the name uncultured bacterium. Its description in RNAcentral is "partial 16S ribosomal RNA". It matches the Rfam family "Bacterial small subunit ribosomal RNA", at positions 524 to 776 of the family's 1533-position model. The record is from RNAcentral.
CACGUAGGGUGCGAGCGUUGUCCGGAAUUAUUGGGCGUAAAGAGCUCGUAGGCGGUGUGUCGCGUCGGCCGUGAAAACCUGCAGCUUAACUGUGGGCUUGCGGUCGAUACGGGCAUCACUGGAGUUCGGCAGGGGAGACUGGAAUUUACGGUGUAGCAGUGAAAUGCGUAGAUAUCGUAAGGAAGACCAGUGGCGAAGGCGAGUCUCUGGACAGUUACGGACACUGAGGCACGAAGGCCAGGGGAGCAAACGGG